AUUCCAGCUCCAGUAGCGUAUAUUAAAGUUGUUGCAGUUAAAAAGCUCGUAGUUGGAUUUCUGGUUUCACAGAACUGGCCUACUUCCUCAAGGUCGUGUGCGCCGUGUUUUGUGUACCAUCCUUCUAGAAAUUGUGUUCCAUCCCUUCACUGGGAUAGAUCCGAGAUCUAGAUCUUUACUUAGAAGAAAUUAGAGUGUUCAAAGCAGGCUCGCGCUGUGAAUACAUUAGCAUGGAAUAAUAAUUUAGGACUUGGUAUCCUAUUUUGUUGGUUUUCAGGAUCUAAGUAAUGAUUGAUAGGGAUAGUUGGGGGUGCUAGUAUUUUGCGGCCAGAGGUGAAAUUCUGUGAUUCGCGAAAGACUAACUUAUGCGAAAGCAUUCACCAAGGAUGUCUUCAUCA
Molecule: ribosomal RNA, 398 nt
Filed under: Cercozoa sp.
Lineage: Eukaryota; Cercozoa
Description: partial small subunit ribosomal RNA
Rfam family: Eukaryotic small subunit ribosomal RNA
Source: RNAcentral